Hyalella azteca is the source of this 192-nucleotide long non-coding RNA. RefSeq lists it as uncharacterized. The transcript is spliced from 3 exons. The record is from RefSeq and is a predicted model, not a curated record. Lineage: Eukaryota; Metazoa; Arthropoda; Malacostraca; Amphipoda; Hyalellidae.
UCACCAGAGCUUGCUACGGUCACCUCAACUCUGAACAGUGCGUCACACCUCAUCUACGAUGCAGCUCUUCUUAACGAAUCUUAAUAACAUUCAAACGAAUAAAAUUUAAUAUCACUUCACGGCACAUUUCUUCCAUCUAUAAGUUCAGAAUGUUUCCGCAUUAAGAGGAAUCAUCCUAAUAUAAGUUUAUAA